GCCGAAGUGGCGGAAUUGGCAGACGCGCGCGACUCAAAAUCGCGUGGGCUUUCCCGUGUGGGUUCGAAUCCCACCUUCGGCA
This 82-nucleotide transfer RNA is filed under the name Natranaerobius thermophilus JW/NM-WN-LF. It matches the Rfam family "tRNA". From Rfam's summary of the family: Transfer RNA (tRNA) molecules are approximately 80 nucleotides in length. Their secondary structure includes four short double-helical elements and three loops (D, anti-codon, and T loops). The record is from Rfam by way of RNAcentral. Lineage: Bacteria; Bacillati; Bacillota; Clostridia; Natranaerobiales; Natranaerobiaceae.